GUCCUGUUCAUCCUGUGACUGAGGGAGCUUCUGUUAGUCUGAGCUGCAGUUUGAGAACACAAAAAAUACUUUCCAAUGUGUUUUCUAUCACAAUGACAAACUUAUUCAAAAUGAUCCCGAGGGGAGCUGAAGAUCUCUGCAGUGUCAAAGUCUGAUGAAGGUUUCUACAAGUGUCAGUACUCAGGAGGAGAGUCAGCACAGAGCUGGAUGUCAGUUAAAGUAGCUCCAUCAGGAUCUAAAAGGACUUCAUGUCCUGUGUGGUUGGUUGUUGGACUGGUUUGUGGAGUCUCUCUUCUUAUUAUUUUCCUGCUCGGAAUGUAUCGCUAUAGAAAGGCGAAGGAUUUAUGCUUCACUGGGCCGAUCCAGUCGGACAUCAACAGUCAAGACUCCACCAGAAAUCAUGGAGACAAUCAGACUGAAACCCAUGAGUACAAAUCUCUUCACCCUGGUGAAUAUGAACUCUAUGAAACAGCCCAUCACUCAGGAGACACUGCAAAUGGUGAUCAUCACAUCUAUGAAACAAUCCAAGACUUGGAAGAUACUGCAAAUGGUACACAUUAUCUUUUGAGUAUCACAGAGUGGUUACCAGAGGUGGCAAAAGUACAGGAAUUCUGUACUUAAGUAGAAUUACAGUUACUAGUGUUGAAAAAUACUCCAGUAAAAGUUGAAGUACUGAUUCAACGUCUUUACUCGA
Molecule: long non-coding RNA, 694 nt
Organism: Oreochromis aureus
Lineage: Eukaryota; Metazoa; Chordata; Actinopteri; Cichliformes; Cichlidae
Source: Ensembl